AAAAAAAAAAAAAAAAAAAAAAAAAACGUCACAAGUGAUUUUGUUGUUGGAUAGCUCCAGUUUGUUUGCUGGAUAAUUGGAAGGAUACUCAUGUUGUUUUAUCUGAACCUGUCAAUCUGACUGAGGUUCAAUUUUAGAGUAAAUUGUUUAUGGAAAUUUUUAGAGUUGUAUAUUCCAAGUGGCAUCUCACGUGAUAUUAAAAGUUAUUUUUUAAUAUAGAUUAUAAAAUAAUCGUUAUUUCUAUCUUUUAAAUAAUCUAUUAUAAAAUGAAUUUCACAUAAGCAUUCUUAGAACAUGUAGCUACUGUACAUAUAGAAAUUUAUAGGUGCUACAAUUUUAAUAUCAGGUAUAUUUAGAGGGUUAUGCUCCGCUUGCGAUAUGCUCAUGUAAUGCAUAUAUGUGUGGGCGCUCGGGGGAAAAAGUGAAAGUGCUCUAAUUUUAACGUUAUUUUACUAAUUUCGUGAAAAUAACGUUAAAAGAGGGGAUGGUUAAUCAUGCAUCAUGUGGUGGUGCUGAUAGCCGAAAGACAAGGGGUACAUGCACUAAUCGGCGUUUGUCUCAAUUGCUGAGUGUUAUGUGCCUUAUGUCCAAGGCUUGAUACAAAACUACUAUCGCGCCGGAGGUCUCACUGGAAGCAGCCUCUCUAUUCCUACGGGGUAGAGGUAAGGUUGUCUACAUCUUACCCUCCUCAGUCCCUACCUUAGCUUUGCUAUUGGUGUGAUAUAUUGAGUAUGAUGAUGAUGAUGAUUAAAGAAGCCUAAGCUCAACAAGGGUCAAUCAAACAAUGGCCUGAUUUCAUUGUGCUUCUCAUUGCUCUUACUUAUUGUUGUAAAUAUGGUUCUACUGAUGUUAAAAUUGUUUUACGUUAAACAGGCUAUGGUGAAGCUGUAAAUAAUUUGUGAAAGUGGAAACCAACCAAGGCCCACACAAAUGACUUCUUUAACCAUUCUUCUUGCAAUUAGGGAUUUCCCAGGGACUGGAUAUGAAUCAAAGAGACAUUAUUACCGCCAGGUAGAUCUAAAGGUAUGAGUUCUUUUAACAUUUAAGUGUAUUACAUUUAUGAUAACAGUUGUGGACAAAUAACUGUUACUAUGACUGUUGAAUAUGUUUAUGAUUGUUAAUUGGAUUUGUAUUUGAUAUAUUUGAUUUUAUGUGUUAGGUUAUUAGUGUGUAAGGCAGUGUUGCAAAAGUCGGAUUCCUCGGCCGAGUACUCGGCGAGUACUCGGUCCUCGGACCUCCACCUUGGCGACUUCCUCCUAGGCGGUCUCAACUAGUCGGCCUCGGGAGUACUCGGUCCUAGUCGGCCUAGUCGGAGCCUAGUCGGCCUAGUCGGAGCCUAGUCGGCCUAGUCGGUCUAGGCGGUCAACGUGGUUUGUUGACUUUUAAUCGGUCAAAAUCGGCCUACUCGGCCUUGUACUCGGACUACUCGGCCUUGUACUCAGACUAGUCAGACUUGUAUUCAGAAUAUUUUAACUUUAAACAUGUUUCAUUUUAAAUUAUACCUAGUUGACAUGAAUUAUGCUUAUUUUAACACAUAAAUAAUAUAUAACAAUUAAUUUUAUUUAUAUUUACCAUGUCCGUGUACUCCCCGAGUACUCUCCGAGUACUCCGAUUACUCCCAACUCCCCAGUCGGCCGACUAGGGACCGCCUAGCGACUUUUACAACACUGGUGUAAGGUGUGGUUUUAGGUUAUUAGUGGUUGAAUAAUGGUUGUUAUUGAUGUGCUAAAGUUAUAUGAUGUGCUAUAAGGAUUGGAACUGAUGCAAGACACACGUGAACGAUAAAUGAAAGUAAGACUGUUUCUUUUGAAACUUCAAUAUUUUUAGAAUUAUUUUAAUAAUGACAUGUUUGAAAUUCUUUUUUUUUAAGAUUGUUUUUCAUGUUUUAAUGGGGAUACUGUUUAUUUAAGUUUGUUUGAUGAUAGGUAAAUAGUUUUAAAAUUAAAACCUAAGAAAAGGCCUAAGUUGUGUGAUAGAAACCUCACCACUUCAAAUCAUAAUGGGUUGAAUCUGUUUGGGCCGAAUUGGAGGAGCCUAGAACGUGGAUCUGAAAUUUUAAAGGAUUUGACAAAUAAUCCAACUAACCCAGAUAACCCAGUCAAUUAGAAGUUAGCAACAUGGGAAACCGUAUUAGUGGGGAGGGUUGUUAUAUGGGGUAAUCAGUUAGACAUGGUUUUAUUUAAUAAACGUUGUUAGAUUAGGGUGGCGAUGUUUUAUUAUCAAAUUAGGGUUCUUUCCUAAACAUUGGAGAUCAAGCCUAUAUUGACGCUAAUUGGAAUCGUUCUUUCACAAUCAAAGAUUUCAAUUUUCGAUUUUUAUCACUGUGUUCUUUAAAAAUCAACUUUUAAUUUUAAUUGUAUAUGUGAUGGUUUAUUAAAUUUAUGGGUCGGCGGAUCGACAACCGCAAAGGCGGCGCUGUUACACUCAUGAAGAAGCUUCUCAAAGAACCUGUAUUCCCAAUCUGCCCUUUGACUAUUAAUUCUGAGUGUGUCUCAAAACUGAAGGAGUAGAUGCAAAGUAAUUCAUGUGAAAAAACAAUACGAGUCAGCUCUAAUAUUGUUUGGACCAUCUCAUAUAUUUUCAAGUUAUAUGUGAUCCAAUUAAUCAUUGGUAUAAAGGUCUUUUUAUUUUUUUUCUUUAUAUUGUUAUCUUUUUAGUAAAUGAUGAAGUCAAGUAUAGGCUUUAAAUUUAUAAUAUGCUAUAGUUAAUUGGAGUUGCGGACUCAUAUUUUUUGUUUUGUAAGUGAUGUAUUCAAGUGUAAUACCUGACAUAACAACUUCAUUAAAGAACAAAUU
Molecule: long non-coding RNA, 2795 nt
Filed under: Helianthus annuus (common sunflower)
Lineage: Eukaryota; Viridiplantae; Streptophyta; Magnoliopsida; Asterales; Asteraceae
Description: hypothetical non coding rna
Source: RNAcentral